UCCCUGGUAGUAUAUCGGUGAGUACACGCGCCUGUCAUUCGCCUCGGUCGCGCGAAAGCGGGGUUCGACUCCCCGCCAGGGAG
Non-coding RNA from Fomitopsis schrenkii, 83 nucleotides. The record is from the annotation of a GenBank genome assembly. NCBI's taxonomy places the organism in Eukaryota, Fungi, Basidiomycota, Agaricomycetes, Polyporales, Fomitopsidaceae.